AAGGUGCGGCGGCUCGAUUCAAAUUUAAACACGUGGUUCAUGUUCGAGUUAGGUAUGUGGUUCUAGUUUCGGGUCAUGAAUUGGGGUUUGAAUAUGAUUUGAUUUCUGGUUCGAGUAUUUCAAGUGGGUUCGGGUCGGCUCGGGUGCUCGUCUCGGGUCAACAGUGGGUUCUGGCCAGUUGGAGAUGCGGAUCAGAUUUUGUGUUUCGGUUCAUUGUAGUUUCAGUUUUGGUUCGAGUUUCGGUUCAUUUCGACUCACGCGGCGGUUCUUUCUACGUGUUCGAAGACGUCGCCAGGAACAACCGGAACCCAUAGCUUCGCCGGAGCCGAACGGAGAUCACCACAGGAACCUUUUCGACUCGUUUCGGAGUCGCAAUCGCAACCACUCAUAAACUCGAGACUUCAGUGUUCCUUCCUCCUAAUCUCUUACGCUCGUCAACACUUGGAUAAUCGGAAGACUUAGCAAUUAUGUUGAGGUUUGAUGAUGCUAUGAAAACGGACUAGCAAAGAUGCCUAGAUACUCACUUAGACGUCUUAGGUCAAAUACGUUGUAUAAAUUUCAUAUUUGUUGUUGUAUUGUUCUCUUGUAUUUUUAAUGUAUUGUAACAUUUAUUCAUGAAUGAAAUCAAUUUAUCUUUAA
Helianthus annuus (common sunflower) is the source of this 639-nucleotide long non-coding RNA. RefSeq lists it as uncharacterized. NCBI's taxonomy places the organism in Eukaryota, Viridiplantae, Streptophyta, Magnoliopsida, Asterales, Asteraceae. The record is from RefSeq and is a predicted model, not a curated record. The transcript is spliced from 3 exons.